AGAGUUUGAUCCUGGCUCAGAAUCAACGCUGGCGGCGCGCCUAACACAUGCAAGUCGAGCGAGAAAGGGGCAACCUGAGUAAAGCGGCGUACGGGUGAGUAACACGUGGAUCAUCUACCCUUUUGUGGGGAAUAACUCUGGGAAACCGGAGCUAAUACCGCAUAAGUCCGAGAGGAGAAAGCAGCAAUGCGCAGAAGGAGGAGUCCGCGGCUGAUUAGCUAGUUGGUGGGGUAAUGGCUCACCAAGGCUUCGAUCGGUAGCCGGCCUGAGAGGGCACACGGCCACACUGGCACUGAGACACGGGCCAGACUCCUACGGGAGGCAGCAGUGGGGAAUCUUGCACAAUGGGGGAAACCCUGAUGCAGCGACGCCGCGUGAGCGAUGAAGCCCUUCGGGGUGUAAAGCUCUUUCGACGGGAACGAUUAUGACGGUACCCGGAGAAGAAGCUGCGGCUAACUACGUGCCAGCAGCCGCGGUAAUACGUAGGCAGCAAGCGUUGU
RNAcentral lists this ribosomal RNA (500 nucleotides) under uncultured bacterium. Its description in RNAcentral is "bacterial SSU rRNA". It matches the Rfam family "Bacterial small subunit ribosomal RNA", at positions 8 to 544 of the family's 1533-position model. The record is from RNAcentral.